GGGGGCUGCUGGAGGAUGCACAGAAGGGGCUUUACCGGGACCGGAUGCUGAGGACCUGCCGAGCCCUUGUUUCCCUGGGCUUCUCCCUGCAGCCAUGAUAUCGAGGUCCCAUGCCUGACUUAAUCCGCCGCAUCCAGCGAGGACAGGAGCAGCUCUGGGUCAGUGAUGAUGAGAACUGUGAGGACAUCUCCAGGUUGGAGGACCUGCCGCCAGGAGAUGCCUGGCUGCUGAACAGAGCGGAGGAGCAGAGUCCUGAGGAAGGGCUGCCACAUCUGGAGCCAGCCUGGACUU
Long non-coding RNA from Alligator sinensis (Chinese alligator), 291 nucleotides. RefSeq lists it as uncharacterized. NCBI's taxonomy places the organism in Eukaryota, Metazoa, Chordata, Crocodylia, Alligatoridae. The record is from RefSeq and is a predicted model, not a curated record. The transcript is spliced from 3 exons.